GGCCGCGGGAAUUCGAUUCAGGCCUAACACAUGCAAGUCGAACGAAGCGCUUAAGACGGACCCUUCGGGGGAAGAUUUAAGUGACUGAGUGGCGGACGGGUGAGUAACGCGUGGGCAACCUGCCCUGUACAGGGGGAUAACAGUUGGAAACGGCUGCUAAUACCGCAUAAGCGCACAGUGGGACAUCCCACAGUGUGAAAAACUCCGGUGGUACAGGAUGGGCCCGCGUCUGAUUAGCUAGUUGGCAGGGUAACGGCCUACCAAGGCAACGAUCAGUAGCCGGUCUGAGAGGAUGAACGGCCACAUUGGAACUGAGACACGGUCCAAACUCCUACGGGAGGCAGCAGUGGGGAAUAUUGCAAGAUGGGGGAAACCCUGAUGCAGCAACGCCGCGUGAGUAAAGGAGUAUUUCGGUAUGUAAAGCUCUAUCAGCAGGGAAGAUAAUGACGGUA
RNAcentral lists this ribosomal RNA (452 nucleotides) under uncultured bacterium. RNAcentral describes it as "bacterial SSU rRNA". It matches the Rfam family "Bacterial small subunit ribosomal RNA", at positions 39 to 477 of the family's 1533-position model. The record is from RNAcentral.